UUAUGGCAAGCAAAUCAAUCUAGACCGUCGGAUGGCAUUAGGUUUAUUUUCCUUCCCUGCAUCCUUUUUGUUCCACGCCAUGUUGUUUCCUGCCGCCGCCACCUCUUAUUCCCGCCUCUUCUGUUCCUUGUGCUUCCGCCUCCUGCUCUUCCCAAUAGGUGCCAUUGAUUUCUAAUCCAAGCAUUUGUGCCAUGGGUUACUGGUUCCUAUCGCCGCAGCGCGAUAAGGAUCUAGGGAACAGAACGGGAGAGAGGGAGCGUGCAAGGGGAUAACAAGAGAAAGAUUAGGAUUUGUUUAUUUACUCCUAAGCUCGUUCGUCUCUUGUAGUGAAUCCUUUAGCUGACCAUUCUGACCACUCAAUUUUGGUUA
This is a long non-coding RNA of Panicum virgatum (switchgrass), 369 nucleotides long. RefSeq lists it as uncharacterized. The transcript has 2 exons. The record is from RefSeq and is a predicted model, not a curated record. NCBI's taxonomy places the organism in Eukaryota, Viridiplantae, Streptophyta, Magnoliopsida, Poales, Poaceae.